AUGGCCGGAUUGUCUUGAGGAAGAAGACAAUCCCAUGGCCGUUGGAUCACUUUGACCUUAUUUGAAAUGGAUGCUCAAGAUUCAUCCAUGUGUUUUCUUGCUUGGACCAAUCUCAUCCAUCCAUUGCAUGUUUGACUUGUUGACUUUUUUUUUUGAUCCAAAAGCCCAUAUAUUUUCUGAUUUUCGUUUUUAUUUAUUUUUAUUAGCCACUU
Molecule: long non-coding RNA, 212 nt
Filed under: Lathyrus oleraceus (garden pea)
Lineage: Eukaryota; Viridiplantae; Streptophyta; Magnoliopsida; Fabales; Fabaceae
Description: Pisum sativum (pea) long non-coding RNA (PSAT_LNC023828)
Source: RNAcentral